RNAcentral lists this ribosomal RNA (400 nucleotides) under phytoplankton environmental sample. Its description in RNAcentral is "partial small subunit ribosomal RNA". It matches the Rfam family "Eukaryotic small subunit ribosomal RNA", at positions 587 to 985 of the family's 1831-position model. The record is from RNAcentral.
AGCUCCACUAGCGUAUAUUAAUGUUGUUGCAGUUAAAAAGCUCGUAGUUGGAUUCCUGGCGCGGGGCAGCCGGUCCGCCUCGCAAGGGGUGCGUUACUGUGCGGCCUCGGCCAUUUUUGGACAGAGCAGUCCUGGCAUUCAGUUGUCGGGGCUGGGAUGUCCGACGUUUACUGUGAAAAAAUCAGAGUGUUCAAAGCAGGCUUACGCCUUGAAUACAUUAGCAUGGAAUAAUGAGAUAGGACCUUGGCGGUCUAUUUUGUUGGUUUGCACGCCAAGGUAAUGAUUAACAGGGACGGUUGGGGUUCUUCGUAUUCAAUUGUCAGAGGUGAAAUUCUUGGAUUUAUGGAAGACGAACUGCUGCGAAAGCGUCGAACAAGGACGUUCUCAUUAAUCAAGAACG